UACACUCUAUCCUCCCCAAACCAUACUUUGUGGGAUUACACUAGGUAUGUAUCCAUUUCUCUACCUCCAAGGUAGUGUUAACGUCUGCCUACACUCUAUCCUCCCCAAACCAUACUUUGUGGGAUUACACUAGGUAUGUUGUUGUUGUUGUAGUACUAUCGAUCAACUACAAUCCGCUUCAAUUUAUACAAAUCAACUGUUUUCAUUUGCUCUAUUCAGGCAUAUUUUUUCCUAAAACAAGCAAAAUUGGAAUUCUUCCUAGCUAGUUGAUCAUGUAACUCUACAAACAAAUACGCCUCAGCUAACUGAA
This 310-nucleotide long non-coding RNA is filed under the name Solanum tuberosum (potato). RNAcentral's name for it is "long non-coding RNA (STUB_LNC005411)". Lineage: Eukaryota; Viridiplantae; Streptophyta; Magnoliopsida; Solanales; Solanaceae. The record is from RNAcentral.